GACGAACGCUGGCGGCGUGCUUAACACAUGCAAGUCGAACGGAAAGGCCCUGCUUUUGUGGGGUGCUCGAGUGGCGAACGGGUGAGUAACACGUGAGUAACCUGCCCUUGACUUUGGGAUAACUUCAGGAAACUGGGGCUAAUACCGGAUAGGAGCUCCUGCUGCAUGGUGGGGGUUGGAAAGUUUCGGCGGUUGGGGAUGGACUCGCGGCUUAUCAGCUUGUUGGUGGGGUAGUGGCUUACCAAGGCUUUGACGGGUAGCCGGCCUGAGAGGGUGACCGGCCACAUUGGGGCUGAGAUACGGCCCAGACUCCUACGGGAGGCAGCAGUGGGGAAUAUUGCACAAUGGGCGGAAGCCUGAUGCAGCAACGCCGCGUGCGGGAUGACGGCCUUCGGGUUGUAAACCGCUUUCGCCUGUGACGAAGCGUGAGUGACGGUAAUGGGUAAAGAAGCACCGGCUAACUAUGUG
Molecule: ribosomal RNA, 468 nt
Filed under: uncultured bacterium
Lineage: Bacteria
Description: partial 16S ribosomal RNA
Rfam family: Bacterial small subunit ribosomal RNA
Source: RNAcentral